RNAcentral lists this ribosomal RNA (793 nucleotides) under uncultured archaeon. RNAcentral describes it as "bacterial SSU rRNA". It matches the Rfam family "Archaeal small subunit ribosomal RNA", at positions 85 to 879 of the family's 1478-position model. The record is from RNAcentral.
ACUGCUCAGUAACACGUGGACAACCUACCCUCAGCACGGGGAUAAACCCGGGAAACUGGGUAUAAUACCCGAUAGUUCUGGGAUGCUGGAAUGCGUUCAGGACGAAAGCUCCGGCGACUGAGGAUGGGUCUGCGGCCUAUCAGGUAGUAGUGGGUGUAAUGUACCUACUAGCCUACGACGGGUACGGGUCGUGAGAGCGAGAGCCCGGAGAUGGAUUCUGAGACACGAAUCCAGGCCCUACGGGGUGCAGCAGGCGCGAAAACUUUACAAUGCUGGCAACAGCGAUAAGGGGACCUCGAGUGCCAGGAUACAAUCUUGGCUGUCGUAAUGCCUAAAAAGCAUUAUAUAGCAAGGGCCGGGCAAGACCGGUGCCAGCCGCCGCGGUAACACCGGCGGCUCGAGUGGUAACCGCUAUUAUUGGGUCUAAAGGGUCUGUAGCCGGCCGGAUAAGUCUUUUGGGAAAUCCAGCUGCUCAACAGUUGGGCUUUCAGAAGAUACUGUUCGGCUCGAGGCCGGGAGAGGUGAGAGGUACUUCAGGGGUAGGGGUGAAAUCUUGUAAUCCUUGAAGGACCACCAGUGGCGAAGGCGUCUCACCAGAACGGUCCUGACGGCAAGGGACGAAAGCUAGGGGCACGAACCGGAUUAGAUACCCGGGUAGUCCUAGCCGUAAACGAUACUCGCUAGGUGUCAGCCACGGUGCGACCGUGGUUGGUGCCGUAGGGAAGCCGUGAAGCGAGCCACCUGGGAAGUACGGCCGCAAGGCUGAAACUUAAAGGAAUUGGCGGGGGAGCAC